AAUGAGCACCUACUUGAAGCUCUUGUGCUUUGAUACCACUUGAUGGAAGCUUGCUAGUGGGGCUUCUACGGAGGCUGGAUCUUUGAGCUUCAAUGAGGUCCUUUAAUGGUGAUUUUCCACCAUGGAGAUGCAGCAGAAGACAAAGGAGAAGAGGUGAGAGGAGGCGCCAUCCAUUAAAGAAUAAGCCAUGAAAGAAGGAGCUUCACCACCAAGAUGAGCUUUGGAUAAGAAGCUUGGAGAGGAUUC
This 246-nucleotide long non-coding RNA is filed under the name Glycine max (soybean). RNAcentral's name for it is "long non-coding RNA (GMAX_LNC000099)". Lineage: Eukaryota; Viridiplantae; Streptophyta; Magnoliopsida; Fabales; Fabaceae. The record is from RNAcentral.